CUCUGGGAGUUCCUCUGAAGGCCAAAGUCCUGCCCCCAAACAUAAUUCUCUUCUUCAACCUUCACAAUUAUAAGUCCUUCUUGUUCUUUUGGAGCAUGACUACUGAGAAUCAUAAGCUGACCAAAGGCAUACAGCCAGUGAGCAGAGCACUGGGCUCUUCAAUCAAAGUAGUUAACUCCCCAAAGAAAGGAACUCACACUUCAUGAUGAAAGCUUCUUGAAAGUUAAUGAAUUUUCCCAAGGUCCCAAACCAGUCAAGACAUGACCUCAGGGUUGCCUGGCCUCAAGAACGUCUCCUUUUUAUUCCAGAAUUGGUUAAUGCCCAGGACAACCUUGAUUGUUACUAUAAACUAGGAAUAAUGAUGAAAAGAUUAGAAAGGAGUUAUGAAGAAUGGCUAUACAUGUACAAACAAGGAAAAGUUAUCCUUGAAUUUGUCACAAGAUUCUGAAACAGCACAAGGAAAAGAGAAAGAGAUUCCUUCAUCCAUUUUUUUCAACAAAUACUUGAACAUUAACUAUGUGCUAGCAGGCAUACUAAACAGGAGUCUCAAGAUAAUGAGUUCUGUCUGCAAGGACUCAGUUUAUUUAGUAUGUGAAAUUGACAGGUAAAUACAGAUUGAUAAAUCGAAAGAUGAUGAGCACAAGAGAAAGACCACUGACCAAGCCCAGGUAGAGAGGGGAGAAGUGUUAGAAGAUGUAGCCUAUUGAAGAAACUGAAAAUGGUUUAGGGAGGCCAGACUAAUGGGUGUCACCUCUGGCUAUGUCUUAGUAUAGAGGCACCAUGAGAGAUUCAUGGAGUCAGAAUCUCCGGGGAUGGGGCUUAAGUGAGUGUCCCUAAGUGCUUCUAAUAGGUAGAAGCCUGGUUAAGAAUAAUAUGUCAGAGCCUAGGGUACAAUUAAGGAGAAGAGAUAACUAUAGGGGAACAGCCAAGCCCUCCAGGGUCCAAGGGGUUGAUCCCUCAUGGCCACAGGAAUGGCUGGAGGAUUUAUGUGCCCACAAAGAGAGAGAAGAAGAGAUAAGUAAGGGUUUGUUGCAACCAUUUAGACUAUGGGAGUCAAAAAAUAUAAAGAUAGGACACACUGAAUAAGGGUUUGGAAGAAAGGGGAAUCUAGAAGGACUCAGGUUUCUGGCUAUUCCUGGUGACUGGAGGUUGCUGGUGUCAUUUGCUGAGCUAUUCACUAAGAAAGUUAUGUCUGAGGUACCAACAAAGCAGCAUUUCCUAAACUCUACUUUACCAGAUAUUAACAGGUGCUUCAAAUACACCAAAACACAAUAGAAACUUGGGGAUGUUUUUCUUAAUUUUUUGCAGAAGAAAAAUAAUAAAUAUAUUUUUUAGUUCUUAUUAUGUGAUAAUUGUAAUUUAAGAAAUCAUAAGAUUAAAAAAAUAAACAAAAAGGAAUCACAUGAUGCUGCACUGUCAGACCUGUGUACAUAGCAUUUACCAAGGGCUGCAGCACAUCUAUGUGUAUCCUUAGUGACUAUUAGUUUCUGUUAUGUCUCUUGCCUUUUUUUCAAUGUUUGUGGUAUUAUUCAAUUUUACUAUAAAUAUUAUGCCUCACCAACUCAUCUUCCAUAGGUGUGUGGCUGAAGGAAGGAUAUAAACUCCUCCAUCUCCUUCAUAGGUCCACCCUCUCUAAAUCAGAAUUCUCUAAGAUUAGUCCUAAAUUCUCCCCUUUUUUAACUCUCCACUUUCCUCCAAGGCUACCUAAUCCUCACCUUUGUUUACCAUCUUCUAGUAUAGACCUCCUAUCUGAGCUCCAGACCUAUUUACCCACAGUUCUUCACUCCCAUCAUAACUCCUCUUGAAUUUCUCAAAUGCAUAUCAAAUAGUACAUUCAUAAACAACUCAUGAUUUCUCCCAUAUCAAAUCUGCCCUCUUCCAUUGGUUCCCUUUCAGGUAACAGGAAUAUCUUACCUGGCUGUAUGGCCAGAAAUCAUCCAUAACAAAAUUCUUUCUUUUACCUCCUUCCUUUAUUUAAUGCAUAUUAGCCUACUGAUUUUAUUGCCUGUCUGCCCGUCCUAAACUCUGCCACCACAUAUUCAUCCUAACUGUCCCAUCUGUCAUACUUUACAAUAACUUCUCUACUGACUUCCCCAAUGCACUGUAUCCCCAUUACUCUAUUAAUCUACAUUGUAACCAGAGUGAUCUUUUCAAAUUGCAAAUCUGACCUGUUCUUAUAACCAGUUUUGUUUUGUUUGUUUUUAAUGAUUUUAAACAAAAAUAGACUAGUAUUUCUCACAGUAUUGUUUAUUGAUCAAGUUUAACUAUUAGUUUCAACUUUAAAAAAAAUUUUGUAGUUAUAGAUGGACAGCAUGCCUUUAUUUUAUUUGUUUAUUUUUAUGUGAUGCUAAAGAUUGAACCCAGUGCCUCACACAUGCUAGGCAAGUGCUCUGCCACUGAACUACAGCCCCAGGCCCUAGUUUCAACUUUUGAUCCCUAAUGUGAUUGUGAUCUUUUAUCAGUUGGGCUGCAGAUUUGAAGGUUCCAGUGGAGAAGGUUUCCAAGGGGUAUUACUCUCUGUCUAGCAACUGAUUGUGGCUAAUGUCAGGAAGCUUGGCUGGGGCUAUUAAUAGGAAUGCUUACACAUUUUCUCUCUGUGUGCCCCUGACCAGUUUUUGUUGUUGUUGUUGUUUGUUUGUUUUUUAAUAAAAGCAAAGUACUUUUAGUCAAGGUAAA
Marmota monax (woodchuck) is the source of this 2676-nucleotide long non-coding RNA. RefSeq lists it as uncharacterized. Lineage: Eukaryota; Metazoa; Chordata; Mammalia; Rodentia; Sciuridae. The transcript has 3 exons. The record is from RefSeq and is a predicted model, not a curated record.